AGCGAACGCUGGCGGCAGGCCUAACACAUGCAAGUCGAACGAACUCUUCGGAGUUAGUGGCGGACGGGUGAGUAACACGUGGGAACGUGCCUUUAGGUUCGGAAUAACUCAGGGAAACUUGUGCCAAUACCGAAUGUGCCCUUCGGGGGAAAGAUUUAUCGCCUUUAGAGCGGCCCGCGUCUGAUUAGCUAGUUGGUGAGGUAAAGGCUCACCAAGGCGACGAUCAGUAGCUGGUCUGAGAGGGUGAUCAGCCACAUUGGGACUGAGACAAGGCCCAGACGCCUGCGGGAGGCAGCAGUAGGGAAGCUACGGCAAUAGACGAACGUCGGGCCGAGCAACGCCGGGUGAGUGAAGAAGAAAUUCGGGUCGUAAAGCUCGGUUGUAAGAGAAGAACGGGAGUGAGCGUGGACAAUUCCCACGGUGACGGUAUCGUACAAGAAAGGGACGGCUAACUACGUG
Molecule: ribosomal RNA, 459 nt
Filed under: uncultured bacterium
Lineage: Bacteria
Description: partial 16S ribosomal RNA
Rfam family: Bacterial small subunit ribosomal RNA
Source: RNAcentral